RNAcentral lists this ribosomal RNA (452 nucleotides) under uncultured bacterium. RNAcentral describes it as "bacterial SSU rRNA". It matches the Rfam family "Bacterial small subunit ribosomal RNA", at positions 364 to 832 of the family's 1533-position model. The record is from RNAcentral.
UUCGCAAUGCCCGAAAGGGUGAACUAGCGACGCCGCGUGCGGGAUGAAGGCCUUCGGGUUGUAAACCGCUUUUGCAAGGGAAAAACUUAAUGAUGGUACCUUGCGAAUAAGAGGUUACUAACUCUGUGCCAGCAGUAGCGGUAAUACAGAGACCUCAAGCGUUAUCCGGAUUUAUUGGGCGUAAAGCGCGGGUAGGCGGGGACGUAAGUUGGGUGUGAAUCCCUCGGCCCAACCGAGGAACUGCGCCCAGUACCGCGUUGCUUGAGGAUCCAAGGGGUGCAUGGAAUUCCCGGUGGAGCGGUGAAAUGCGUUGAUAUCGGGAGGAACUCCGGCGGCGAAAGCGGUGCACUGGUGGAUUUCUGACGCUGAGGUGCGAAAGCCAGGGGAGCAAACGGGAUUAGAUACCCCGGUAGUCCUGGCUGUAAACGAUGGGCACUAAGUAGAGGGGUUUU